Molecule: ribosomal RNA, 253 nt
Filed under: uncultured bacterium
Lineage: Bacteria
Description: partial 16S ribosomal RNA
Rfam family: Bacterial small subunit ribosomal RNA
Source: RNAcentral
UACGUAGGGUGCGAGCGUUAAUCGGAAUUACUGGGCGUAAAGCGUGCGCAGGCGGUUUUGUAAGCCGGAUGUGAAAUCCCCGGGCUUAACCUGGGAAUGGCGUUCGGGACUGCAAGGCUGGAGUGCGGCAGAGGAGACUGGAAUUCCUGGUGUAGCAGUGAAAUGCGUAGAUAUCAGGAGGAACACCGAUGGCGAAGGCAGGUCUCUGGGCUGACACUGACGCUCAUGCACGAAAGCGUGGGGAGCAAACAGG